RNAcentral lists this transfer RNA (72 nucleotides) under Capra hircus (goat). It matches the Rfam family "tRNA". Rfam says of the family: Transfer RNA (tRNA) molecules are approximately 80 nucleotides in length. Lineage: Eukaryota; Metazoa; Chordata; Mammalia; Artiodactyla; Bovidae. RNAcentral also lists the same sequence under 1 other name. The record is from Rfam by way of RNAcentral.
UCCCUGAUGGCUCAGCUGGUAAAGAAUCUGCCUGAAAUGCAGGAGACCCAAGUUCAAUCCCUGGAUUGGGAA